UUGAAAGGGAAACGAUUGAAGUCAGUCAUGCCGGUGGGAAUCAACUUAGGGGAAACUCUAGGUGCACUUCUUCGCUUGGCAGGUCAACGUCGAUUUUGAAUGUCAUAAAAUAAUUGGGGGAAGGUAGCUCCUUCGGGAGUGUUAUAGCCCUUGAUAGAUGUGAUGUUUGAGGUCGAGGAUUGCAACGGAUACCCUUUGGGGCUAGCUGCCUGAUCUCUAAUUGGUGUUGGGUUACGGAUAGCAUGCUGACCGUGAUCUAAUUACUGGUUAAAAGGUUAGAGCGUGCAUAAAUUCGUUAAGGAUGUUGACGUA
Molecule: ribosomal RNA, 312 nt
Filed under: uncultured Glomeromycotina
Lineage: Eukaryota; Fungi; Glomeromycota
Description: LSU rRNA
Source: RNAcentral